CUUUGAGGGAUAGAAUCUAGUGGACAUUUAUAAAGCAUUGAUUUUUUUUAAAGAUCACUGGCUGAACAAAUAUGGCUGGAGGUGUAGGGGAAUUUAACACAGUCCCCCAUGUUUUAUUAUAACGCCUUUAGUGACUGUCCACACCCCACUGUUGAAUAUAACCUGCAACCGUGUGCCCACCACUGGGAUGGGGGAGCAGUGCCUGGGGGUAAAUGGUUCUGUUAAAAUCUGGAUCUGAUCCGCUUGAUAACUUUCGGCCUGUCUGAAAUCUGGUUAAAACUCCGGCUCAUUCUUUUACAAAAUCAGACAUUGUUAAAUUGUAUAAGCAAUAUCCAGAAUCUGCGUCCUGCAUGGCUCCAGACUUUAGUAAAUAAUCCUAAG
Molecule: non-coding RNA, 381 nt
Organism: Pelobates cultripes (western spadefoot toad)
Lineage: Eukaryota; Metazoa; Chordata; Amphibia; Anura; Pelobatidae
Source: the annotation of a GenBank genome assembly